GACGAACGCUGGCGGCGUGCCUAAUACAUGCAAGUCGAGCGGAGUUAGUCCUUCGGGAAUAACUUAGCGGCGGACGGGUGAGUAACACGUAAGUAACCUGCCUAUAAGACUGGGAUAACAUUCGGAAACGAAUGCUAAUACCGGAUACACGGUUUGAUCGCAUGGUCGAAUCGGGAAAGACGGAGUAAUCUGUCACUUAGAGAUGGACUUGCGGCGCAUUAGCUAGUUGGUGGGGUAAUGGCUCACCAAGGCGACGAUGCGUAGCCGACCUGAGAGGGUGAUCGGCCACACUGGGACUGAGACACGGCCCAGACUCCUACGGGUGGCAG
This 329-nucleotide ribosomal RNA is filed under the name uncultured Bacillota bacterium. Its description in RNAcentral is "bacterial SSU rRNA". It matches the Rfam family "Bacterial small subunit ribosomal RNA", at positions 28 to 351 of the family's 1533-position model. Lineage: Bacteria; Bacillati; Bacillota. The record is from RNAcentral.